GAGGUCAAGUGGGGGAACCCCGAGAAUCGGAGCUAAUACCGCGUGAGCUCGCCCGAGACAUACGGGUGAGGAAAGCUCGGAAGGGCGCAUUUGGAGGGGCUUGCGGCCCAUCAGGUAGUUGGUGAGGUAAAGGCCCACCAAGCCGUUGACGGGUAGCUGGUCUGAGAGGAUGAUCAGCCAGACUGGGACUGAGACACGGCCCAGACUCCUACGGGAGGCAGCAGUUGGGAAUCUUGCGCAAUGGGCGAAAGCCUGACGCAGCGACGCCGCGUGGGGGAAGAAGGUCUUCGGAUUGUAAACCCCUUUUGUCGGGGAAGAUACAAGACGGUACCCGGCGAAUAAGCCCCGGCUAACUACGUGCCAGCAGCCGCGGUAAUACGUAGGGGGCGAGCGUUGUCCGGAUUUACUGGGCGUAAAGAGCGCGUAGGCGGCUCGUUAAGUUGGCUGUGAAAGUCCUCGGCUUAACCGGGGAGAGUCGGCCAAAACUGGCGGGCUUGAGGACGGUAGAGGAAGGUGGAAUUCCUGGUGUAGUGGUGAAAUGCGUAGAUAUCAGGAGGAACACCGGUGGCGAAGGCGGCCUUCUAGGCCGUUCCUGACGCUGAGGCGCGAAAGCGUGGGGAGCGAACUGAAUUAGAUACUCAGGUAGUCCACGCUGUAAACAAUGGACGCUAGGCGUGGGGGGUAUCGACCCCUCCCGUGCCGAAGCUAACGCAUUAAGCGUCCCGCCUGGGGAGUACGGCCGCAAGGCUAAAACUCAAAGGAAUUGGCGGGGGAGCAC
This 778-nucleotide ribosomal RNA is filed under the name uncultured archaeon. RNAcentral's name for it is "bacterial SSU rRNA". It matches the Rfam family "Bacterial small subunit ribosomal RNA", at positions 133 to 924 of the family's 1533-position model. The record is from RNAcentral.